This 438-nucleotide ribosomal RNA is filed under the name uncultured bacterium. Its description in RNAcentral is "bacterial SSU rRNA". It matches the Rfam family "Bacterial small subunit ribosomal RNA", at positions 954 to 1392 of the family's 1533-position model. The record is from RNAcentral.
GCAUAACGCGAAGAACCUUACCUAGGCUUGACAUGCAUCUCUAAGCACGUGAAAGCGUGUGACCCUUCGGGGAAUUUGCACAGGUGCUGCAUGGCCGUCGUCAGCUCGUGUCGUGAGAUGUUGGGUUAAGUCCCGCAACGAGCGCAACCCUUGUGACUAGUUGCCAGCACGUCAUGGUGGGAACUCUAGUCAGACUGCCCAGAUCAACUGGGAGGAAGGUGGGGACGACGUCAGGUCAGUAUGGCCCUUACGCCUAGGGCUGUACACGUACUACAAUGCCCAGCACAAUGAGAACCGAGACCGCGAGGUGGAGGAAAUCUAAAAAACUGGGCCCAGUUCGGAUUGGAGGCUGCAACUCGCCUCCAUGAAGUUGGAAUCGCUAGUAAUGGCGCAUCAUCUACGGCGCCGUGAAUACGUUCCCGGGUCUUGUACACACCG